CACUAAGAGAGGUUUGCUCUUAGCAGUACCUGCCCAGUGCGUCAUAUUGUAAACGGCCGCCCUAGCGUGAGGGUGCCAAGGUAGCGAAAUUCCUUGCCUUUUAAUUGUAGGCCUGCAUGAAUGGAUUGACGAGGGCCAUUCUGUCUCUUGCCUUAUGAAGUGAAAUUGGAUUAAAGGUGAAGAUACCUUUAUUAAAAAGUUAGACAAGAAGACCCCGUGCAGCUUUUAAAAGAUCCUUUAUUAAGAGAGGCAGAUUUUUAGGUGGGGCGCCUAGGAAGUAAAAUUUAACCUUCUGUAUAAUUUUGUUUAUAGUAACUCUCUAGUAUAGACCCGGUAAAAUCCGAUCGUAGGAGAAGUUACGCCGGGGAUAACAGGCUUAUCCAUUAGUAGAGCUCGUAUUGGCUAAUGGGAUUGGCACCUCGAUGUUGAAUUAGGGACAAUAACUUUAAGGCGUAGAAGCUUUAAGAGUGGGUCUGUUCGACCUUUAAUACCCU
Molecule: ribosomal RNA, 494 nt
Filed under: Saccostrea scyphophilla
Lineage: Eukaryota; Metazoa; Mollusca; Bivalvia; Ostreida; Ostreidae
Description: partial large subunit ribosomal RNA
Rfam family: Bacterial large subunit ribosomal RNA
Source: RNAcentral